UACGUAGGGAGCGAGCGUUGUCCGGAUUUACUGGGUGUAAAGGGUGCGUAGGCGGCAAUGCAAGUCAGAUGUGAAAACUAUGGGCUUAACUCAUAGAUUGCAUUUGAAACUGUGUUGCUUGAGUGAAGUAGAGGCAGGCGGAAUUCCCGGUGUAGCGGUGAAAUGCGUAGAGAUCGGGAGGAACACCAGUGGCGAAGGCGGCCUGCUGGGCUUUAACUGACGCUGAGGCACGAAAGCAUGGGUAGCAAACAGG
RNAcentral lists this ribosomal RNA (253 nucleotides) under uncultured bacterium. RNAcentral describes it as "partial 16S ribosomal RNA". It matches the Rfam family "Bacterial small subunit ribosomal RNA", at positions 524 to 776 of the family's 1533-position model. RNAcentral also lists the same sequence under 1 other name. The record is from RNAcentral.